This 460-nucleotide ribosomal RNA is filed under the name uncultured bacterium. RNAcentral's name for it is "partial 16S ribosomal RNA". It matches the Rfam family "Bacterial small subunit ribosomal RNA", at positions 338 to 795 of the family's 1533-position model. The record is from RNAcentral.
CCUACGGGAGGCAGCAGUGAGGAAUAUUGGUCAAUGGGCGAGAGUCUGAACCAGCCAAGUAGCGUGAAGGAUGACUGCCCUACGGAUUGUAAACUUCUUUUAUAAAGGAAUAAAGUGAGGCACGUGUGCCUUUUUGCAUGUACUUUAUGAAUAAGGAUCGGCUAACUCCGUGCCAGCAGCCGCGGUAAUACGGAGGAUCCGAGCGUUAUCCGGAUUUAUUGGGUUUAAAGGGAGCGUAGAUGGGUUGUUAAGUCAGUUGUGAAAGUUUGCGGCUCAACCGUAAAAUUGCAAUUGAUACUGGCAGGCGUGAGUACAGGUGAGGUAGGCGGAAUUCGUGGUGUAGCGGUGAAAUGCUUAGAUAUCACGAAGAACCCCGAUUGCGAAGGCAGCCUACUAAACUGUCACUGACAUUGAUGCUCGAAAGUGUGGGUAUCAAACAGGAUUAGAUACCCGAGUAGUC